Molecule: ribosomal RNA, 422 nt
Filed under: Microvirga ossetica
Lineage: Bacteria; Pseudomonadati; Pseudomonadota; Alphaproteobacteria; Hyphomicrobiales; Methylobacteriaceae
Also listed under: 1 other name
Description: partial 16S ribosomal RNA
Rfam family: Bacterial small subunit ribosomal RNA
Source: RNAcentral
UGAGGAAUAUUGGUCAAUGGGUGCAAGCCUGAACCAGCCAUCCCGCGUGAAGGACGACUGCCCUAUGGGUUGUAAACUUCUUUUGUAUAGGGAUAAACCUACCCUCGCGAGGGUAGCUGAAGGUACUAUACGAAUAAGCACCGGCUAACUCCGUGCCAGCAGCCGCGGUAAUACGGAGGGUGCAAGCGUUAUCCGGAUUUAUUGGGUUUAAAGGGUCCGUAGGCGGACUUAUAAGUCAGUGGUGAAAGCCUGUCGCUUAACGAUAGAACUGCCAUUGAUACUGUAAGUCUUGAGUAUAUUUGAGGUAGCUGGAAUAAGUAGUGUAGCGGUGAAAUGCAUAGAUAUUACUUAGAACACCAAUUGCGAAGGCAGGUUACCAAGAUAUAACUGACGCUGAGGGACGAAAGCGUGGGGAGCGAACA